Molecule: non-coding RNA, 30 nt
Filed under: Homo sapiens (human)
Lineage: Eukaryota; Metazoa; Chordata; Mammalia; Primates; Hominidae
Source: RNAcentral
UCAAUGUCCCGAUACCCGUGUGCAUGUCUU